This 77-nucleotide transfer RNA is filed under the name Bacillota bacterium. RNAcentral's name for it is "Firmicutes bacterium (anaerobic digester metagenome) tRNA-Pro". It matches the Rfam family "tRNA". Rfam says of the family: Transfer RNA (tRNA) molecules are approximately 80 nucleotides in length. Their secondary structure includes four short double-helical elements and three loops (D, anti-codon, and T loops). Lineage: Bacteria; Bacillati; Bacillota. The record is from RNAcentral. RNAcentral also lists the same sequence under 1 other name.
CGGGACGUAGCGCAGUUUGGUAGCGCGUCUGGCUUGGGACCAGAAGGCCGGGGGUUCGAAUCCCUCCGUCCCGACCA